AUCAUACAGGUUAAAUAUGUUUAUUUCUGUAAGUAGGAGCUUUCCCAUCAGGACAAAUCAAAGGUUCACCUUACUUAGGCAGGUGAUGGGGUUGUAUGGGCUCCUGGGAGAUUGGGUCAGAGAAAGACUAGGGGGAGACCCCAAGAUAUAGGCUUGGCUGAUUUCUUCCUGAAGACACAGAUGAAUAUAAAAGCAUUGGCUUUGGUGGCACGUGGUGCCAGAGGAUUUGGGGGAACAGAGUCUGGGGGUGGUGCAGUGGAGGGGAAGAUGUACUGACUUCAGGGGCCAGCUGGCCACAGUACCCUUCCUGUCCCAAGUAGGGCUGGGCCAGCCUUCUCAGCUGCAGGAUGAAGCAUCCUGAGGGAGACUGAGAGGGAAAGAAAGUGCUGGAGAAGGAGCCAAGUCUUUGAACUUAUUCCCUGCACUCAGGAGAAGUGGGGGAACCAGUCUGCUUUCUAUG
This 460-nucleotide long non-coding RNA is filed under the name Bos taurus (domestic cattle). RNAcentral describes it as "long non-coding RNA NONBTAT008962". Lineage: Eukaryota; Metazoa; Chordata; Mammalia; Artiodactyla; Bovidae. The record is from RNAcentral.